This 497-nucleotide ribosomal RNA is filed under the name uncultured bacterium. RNAcentral's name for it is "partial 16S ribosomal RNA". It matches the Rfam family "Bacterial small subunit ribosomal RNA", at positions 28 to 507 of the family's 1533-position model. The record is from RNAcentral.
GAUGAACGCUGGCGGCGUGCCUAAUACAUGCAAGUCGAGCGAAAAGACGAGGAGCUUGCUCCUCUGACGUUAGCGGCGCACGGGUGAGACACACGUGGAAAAUCUACUUAUCAGACUGGGAAAACCACGGGAAACGGGAUCUAAUACCGGAUAAUCUAUUGAUGCGCAUGGGUCAAUGGUGAAUGACGGUUUUGCUGUCACUUAUAGAUGGUUCUGCGCUGGAUUGGCUGGUUGGUAAGUUAACGGCUUUCCAAGGCGACGAUGCGUAGCCGACCGGACAGGGGGGUCGCCGGCACUAGAGCGUGACCACGGUCCAGGCUCCUACGAGAGGCAGCAGUAGGGAAUCUGCCGCAAUGGGCGAAAGCCUGACGGAGCGACGCGACGCGUGUGGUGGAGGUCUUCGGUGCGGAAUACCCUGUUACUGGGUAAGAACAGAUGUGUAAGGUGCCGUGCAGGUCUUGACGGUACCGAGUAAAGAAGCCACGGCUAACUACGUG